This 1408-nucleotide long non-coding RNA is filed under the name Canis lupus familiaris (dog). Its description in RNAcentral is "lncRNA (ENSCAFG00000056785.1)". The record is from RNAcentral. Lineage: Eukaryota; Metazoa; Chordata; Mammalia; Carnivora; Canidae.
GAUUCUCACUCUUGGAUAUUAUAGUGUUCUUUUAAUUUCAGUCUUUCAUGCAUAAUGCCUUACAAAAAUUUCCUUUUUUAUCUCACAAAUGCAACUAUUAGAGAUAUUAAGUCUCACGGAGCUCUUUAGUGACCUUUUGCUGCAACAACUUGGUAGCAACAGUAACACCGAACCUUCUCUAUGGAGACUGCCAUGUGACUGUCCCUUCAAAGACAUGCUGACUCCUCCUCACUUUCUUCUUACCUGGUUGAUCAGAGGGACCAGCUUGAUACAGGUAAUAGGCCUACCCUCAGUGGGUGGCGAAGUUGCAAAGAUUUGUUAGGACAGAAUUUGGAUGUUAUUCACAGAUGUCAGCUAACCCCUAAGGUGAGAGUUUUGUUUCUAUAUGACCUUGGAUGAAUUAUUUGCCCUCCCUAUGCUUUAGUUUCCUCACUUGUAAAGUGGAAACAAUAAUAACACCUACCUCAUAGGCUUAUUUUUAAGAUUAAAUUUGUCAUUCAUAGGGAUACGAUAUAUAGUGGCUAUUAGUAUGGUGUACCGUUGACCUGGAGGACUGUGGUGGAAUUUUUUCUCCUUAAUAGAUUAUAGGAAGAAGAGGUGGCAGGAAAGUAUGCUGAGAGGAUAUGAUAACCUUACUUUUCUUUCUUUCUCUGAAAUAGUAAGGGACAAAAGAACAUGUAGAAAUAAUUGCCAUACAAUGUGAUCUAUGCAAUGACAAAAAUAUGUUCAACAUAAAGAAGGGGCAAUGAUGGACUGGAAAUAGGGAGGACUUUGGGAGGAUAUGUUACAUGGGCAGAGUUUUGAGUAAGUGGGUAUGAGGGGCAAGUGAGGGUGGUGGUGAUGGGGGAUGUGCCAGGUGAGGAGGGUUUGGUUAGCACCAUGACUUAGGGAUGGUACUGGUGGAACUUGGGCUAUAGGGGAAUCUCAAGAGAUCAGACGAGAGAAAGGGAGAGAGAGAGACUGUAUCCAGCCAGUAAGUAAGAUUGACAUCACCUGUAUGGAGAUGUACAUUUGUGUCAGGGCUUCUCAAAGGGACUUAGUGUUCCAGGAACCCUUUCUCCUAUCUCUUCCAGAGCUGCCCUAGGCUUAUUAAUUCCAUUCCUAUUAAAGUGCAGCCCUGGGUGGGCAGACAGGUUUAGUACUGUCUCUUGAUUAAAUUUCUCUAUUUGGGAAACAUCAGUCUGUAAUUUUCCAGACACACCUGCAUAUCUACUGUUAUACCUUCUCCACUGCUGACUUUCCCCCAGCAACAUCCAGAAGGUCAGCAACAAAUGGGAAGCUGUCCCUGACCCUUCAAAUAUCAUCUCAGGGCUGAUUCUGAUCCAAAUGAAUUCAAAUGUGACUCACCUAGAGAGACAGAUUUACACAUUAUAGAAAUAGAGUUCCAGGUUUACAUAACAAAUCCAAC